This is a non-coding RNA of Paramuricea clavata, 998 nucleotides long. NCBI's taxonomy places the organism in Eukaryota, Metazoa, Cnidaria, Anthozoa, Malacalcyonacea, Plexauridae. The record is from the annotation of a GenBank genome assembly.
UUUCUGACAAAACGAUGCAGGUCCUAGCAAUGAUAUUCUAAGCAUGUUUUAGGGUGUGUUGUACAUGUCAAUCAUUCUUUGAAACCAACUAUAUAGACAACAAGUUUGAGAUUUUGUACAAUCUGUACAAACAAGUAUGUAUAUACAUUAUUUCUUUAUUUCUUGACCUUCCAUAUCUGAUACUGUAUGAACUAGACUGUAAACCCCACUCUGCAAUAUCAGAAAUUUAUUAAAUAAUUAUUACAGUCAAACCAGAUGUUCUCUUGCAAGCAACAUUGCAAUAUUAAUAAUCAUUAAGUCGCAUUGCACCCUCAUAUGCCCUGGAAUUGGCAAGUUCACUCAGUCUAGUUUAAAACUAAGUUUUUAGAAGAGAUUAUCAUGCAUUUUUAGGGCAUGAUUUCCACUGUUUACGUGACCCUACUGUUGGUCUCUUGUCCAAGAAUCAAGUUGUUUAAUUUAGCUUGAGAAGUGCGUAGUUUCAACUUGCCAUGUGCGUAUAUGUAGGCUACAUUUUUGGCAAGAAAAUUUCGAAUAAAGCCACAUUAAAACGCGUAUGAACAUUUUUGGCAAAAAUUUAAAAUCAGCAUAUUGAAUUAUGCCGUUACUUGGCGAGUGCGAAUUCUGAAACUACAUCAGUACAUGACAGCGAUUGAAAAGCUUCCAAAAUAUUGUUUAUUGUUUCAUAUAUAUCCUCAUAAAUUAAUAAAGCCGACAUCAUAAAGUUAAUACAAGCUCGUUUACUCAGAAAUACUCAUCGAUAACCUGAAGGAAACAUUCUAAAAUAGGUCACGACAUUGUUAAUUACAAAAUGCCCUUCUCAAUGCCAUGGAAUGCGGGAAGCCAUGAAAUUUAUAAUGUACUUUGCAAAAUUGCAAUUUAAUUAGUAGUUCUUUUGGACGCACUGCUCACUUACUGUAAUUAUCAUGGAAUUACUUUACUAGAGCUGUUUUAAUAAUAUAUGUAGCAUACUGAUUUUGUGAAAUAAAAUCUAUGUUGUG